This is a long non-coding RNA of Cyprinus carpio (common carp), 772 nucleotides long. RefSeq lists it as uncharacterized. NCBI's taxonomy places the organism in Eukaryota, Metazoa, Chordata, Actinopteri, Cypriniformes, Cyprinidae. The record is from RefSeq and is a predicted model, not a curated record. The transcript has 3 exons.
CUCACCAUCACAAAAACAAUCAAGAAAUGAACACACUGGAGUUUAUGAACUAAGUAUCGAUCUCGGACAGACAGAGUUUCAAAAAAAAUUCAUUGUCACUGUUUAUGCUCCUGUGCCUCCUGUCAUCACCAGAUACUCUCCUCAGUGUUCAUCAUCAUCAUCAUCAUCAUCAUCAUCAUCAGGAAUUAAAAGUGUGCUGCUGUGUUCAGUGGUGAAUGUGAGUGCUGUGACUCUCUCCUGGUACAAAGGAGACAGUUUAUUGUCCAGCAUCAGUGAGGCUGAUUUCAGCAUCGGUCUCUCUCUACCUCUGGAGGUGGAAUAUCAGGAUAUAAACAGCUACAGCUGUGUAGUGAACAAUCCCGUCAGCACCCAGAUCACACAUCUGGACAUCAGCAAACUCUGUCAGACAUGUUCAGACUGUGACAAUUGGAGUCAAAAGGAGCUGUGAUCCGAUUGGUGGUCUCUGCUCUGGUGGACGUGACACUUUAUGAUGCAGUGUUUCCUAACCUUUUUCUGACAUGGCAUAGUUUAGAUAAGUAAAAAAUCUGACGGCACACAGCUAAGCACUUAAAAAAAAAAAAAAUGGAAAGGGGGAAAGUUUUUUUUUUUUAAUAAUUAAACAAUGCAUCAUCAGAGUUGGUAUUUUGGCUUUAUAUAUGAUCAGACACUUGCACCAUGCUCAAAUAGAGUUAACAAGGUUUUGAAGAGUGAUUGAUGUAGGUAUUUAGCUUGUAUGAUCAAGAAAAUUGUUAAUAAAGUGCUUUAUAUGGAA